This 330-nucleotide ribosomal RNA is filed under the name uncultured eukaryote. RNAcentral describes it as "partial 18S ribosomal RNA". It matches the Rfam family "Eukaryotic small subunit ribosomal RNA", at positions 1470 to 1796 of the family's 1831-position model. The record is from RNAcentral.
CCCUUAGAUGUUCUGGGCCGCACGCGCGCUACACUGAUGCAUUCAACGAGUCUAAAACCCGGUCUGAUAGGGCUGGGUAAUCUUUUGAAUGUGCAUCGUGAUUGGGAUAGAUGAUUGCAAUUCUUCAUCUUCAACGAGGAAUGCCUAGUAAACGCAAGUCAUCAGCUUGCAUUGAUUACGUCCCUGCCCUUUGUACACACCGCCCGUCGCUCCUACCGAUUGAAUGUUCCGAUGAAUACCAUGGACUGAGAGUAUGAAUGGGUUCGCCUAUUUCUGCUUCUCGGGAAGUGGAGUAAAUCUUAACAUUUAGAGGAAGGAGAAGUCGUAACA